This 253-nucleotide ribosomal RNA is filed under the name uncultured bacterium. Its description in RNAcentral is "partial 16S ribosomal RNA". It matches the Rfam family "Bacterial small subunit ribosomal RNA", at positions 524 to 776 of the family's 1533-position model. The record is from RNAcentral.
UACGAACCGUGCGAACGUUAUUCGGAAUCACUGGGCUUAAAGGGCGCGUAGGCGGGCUCGUUAGUCAGGGGUGAAAUCCUCCAGCUCAACUGGAGAAGUGCCUCUGAUACUGCGAGUCUCGAGGGAGGUAGGGGCGUGCGGAACUUCCGGUGGAGCGGUGAAAUGCGUAGAUAUCGGAAGGAACACCGGUGGCGAAAGCGGCGCGCUGGACCUCGUCUGACGCUGAGGCGCGAAAGCCAGGGGAGCAAACGGG